This 253-nucleotide ribosomal RNA is filed under the name uncultured bacterium. RNAcentral describes it as "partial 16S ribosomal RNA". It matches the Rfam family "Bacterial small subunit ribosomal RNA", at positions 524 to 776 of the family's 1533-position model. The record is from RNAcentral.
UACGUAGGGUGCAGGCGUUAAUCGGAAUUACUGGGCGUAAAGCGUGCGCAGGCGGUCUUUUAAGUCAGAUGUGAAAUCCCCGGGCUUAACCUGGGAACUGCGUUUGAAACUGGAAGGCUAGAGUGUGGCAGAGGGGGGUGGAAUUCCACGUGUAGCAGUGAAAUGCGUAGAGAUGUGGAGGAACACCGAUGGCGAAGGCAGCCCCCUGGGCUAACACUGACGCUCAUGCGCGAAAGCGUGGGGAGCAAACAGG